Molecule: long non-coding RNA, 4156 nt
Filed under: Xyrichtys novacula (pearly razorfish)
Lineage: Eukaryota; Metazoa; Chordata; Actinopteri; Labriformes; Labridae
Source: RNAcentral
CAAAUGAGUGUCUGUAAAAGGAGUUUUUAAAAAUUGCACAUACACACAAUACCGGCGUUAUCUCAAACUUUGUCUGUUUGGUUAAAAAUAAAGAUCUCACCCUAAUUUUUUGAACGAAUUUUACAGCAGUUGAAAUAAAUCACGCAUUUUCUUUCAUUGUUUGUUUGUUUAAACUCUAAAAUGUCGGUAUUUUUCUGUUUUGUUUAACUCAAACGUUUAUUUUUCUUUCACCGGAUAUCCGCUUGUCACGUGACGCAGAACCACCGAGGGUAUAAAUAACCCCCGCUGCUAGUAACGGCCAAGGGGGGUGGAAGCUAACAACGCCAGAGAAAAGCGUGUUGACAUUUCUAUAAAAAACUGAAACAGAGAAGAAAUGACAUGGAUAUAUAGUAAGGACAAUAUAUUCUGAAUCCGAGCGUAUCAUGACUUUUGAGGUAAGUAAAAGAGAAGCGAAAAUAAACAAGAAGACGCUGAGUGGAUUAUGCUAACAGGCUAACCGCGCACCGAUUUUUUUUCGUGGGAUAGUAGUGGCAGGUCCCGCCCUCCGUCGCCUCUGAUUGGCUAAAAAAGCUGGAAACGUCAUCACCUUCGAGCCAAGCGCGGGCUGUCGGCUCUGUACAUCGAACAGAACGGUACAGGUCAAUAUCGCACUUCUUAAUCUCCUAACCCUAACCUUAAUCCUAACCCUUUCCCUUACCUUAACCCGACAGACGUUGACGGUUCACAGCUAUAAGGAAUAACCAAUCGGAUCCCAGCAUUUCUAGCUAAUCAGAGGCAAAGGAGGGCGGGACCCUCCCAUGCUAACAAGCUACCAAAAAACUUCCCCAACCGCGCUCGUGUUUCAGCCAGAUAUGCUAAUGAACAGGUACCACUAACGGUUGUAAUACUUUAUAAAUUUAUAAAUUUACAAUUGUUGAAGUGGAGUUAAAGUUAUCAAACUUUGAAAAUUCUUUACACAAAUGUGCUCGUUAAACUAAAAAUAAACUCAAAUUCUGAUCAUUUAUUUGUUGUAUUUUAUGUUACAUGUGCCCACAGUUGGACGGAAGCGGAUACUCUGAGAUGAUGUUAUCAUCUGUGUUUUUUAAAGUUCAUCAGCGUUUAAAUACUGGAAAAUUAAUUACCACUUUGUUGAUGAGACAUGAUCUAAAGAAAUCUAAACAGAUUUUCAUUUUUUCAUUGCUAUAAUUUUAUCACCAACUGACAAAAUGCUAAAAAGAAAGGUCACCUUUAAGUCCAGAGUUGUAUUAGUAGAUUGUGACUUACACUCUGGCUAACCUAAAUCAAUGUUUUUACUCACUUUUAUUUGCGGGAAAUAACUACAAGCUAAAAGUCCUGGGCACUUUACAUUGGAACCUUCUAUUGGCCAAAAAAAUAAUAAAUAAAAUGUACAAAAAUAGUGAGUUACAAGAACAACUGCUAAAAACCUGUUAAUUAAAUGUUUUGAUUAAGAUGUCACUAAUCUAAUGUGGAUAUUAAUUUCUGUCAAAGUCCAGAGACUCAACUACAAAGAGAUUAUGAUCUGAAGCUCCCUCUUGUUCACUAAUUAAGCAUUUAGUUCCCUGUAUGUGUAGUGUUUUCUUUAAGUGUAAUGCAUCUUAAGACUAUUGUACUAAAUCAUGAAAGACUCACAUUAAACACUGGAGUUAAAAGUCACACGUUUUAUUAAUGAAAAAGACACAAGAAUAAUAACACCAAACAUAGCUGAAGGUCUAUAGAUAUCUAAGACUUAAAUCAGCUUUCCUGACAGUCAUGCAAAAGUAAGUGCAAAUAGAUCUUAAGCACAAAUUCAGUGAAACUUUUCACUAAUUUUACUGUUUCAAAAGACAACACGGUAAAAAAACAACGCCUUGAUCAGUGAAGUAGCCUGAGAGCUUCUGUGAGCUCUCACCACAGUCCAGUUUGAUAUCCUCAGCACAGAUUUUUGUUUUUUUGUUGAGUUGGGUUAAAGAUGACGAACAAAUUGUCUUUUCUUUUCUUUCAGGACUCAUCGCCAGCGGAUACUGGAGUUGGGGGACCUCCUCCUUCGUCUCCUUCAGGAAGAAAUUAAUUUCACUAAGUGUUUUGAGACUUAAAUCAUGAUUAAAAGUGAAGACUUGAGACACUUAAAGUGUUUACUUAAAAGCCUUUAGGUAUCAUUAGUCAGCGGUUAAUUUAAAAUAGUUCAGAUUGAACUGUUUUCUAGUUGAAAUUAUCUUUAGACUUCCUUGCUUUUGAAUGGAAAUGUUGGUGCACUUAGGUGUCGUCUGCCAUUUCCAUUCAAAGCAAAGAUUUAAAGUCAUUUCAACUGGAAAAUGGUUCAAUCUGAACAAUUUUAAAUUAACUGCUGACUAAUGAUACCUAAAGCCUUUUUAGUAAAAAAUUUAAGUGUCUCAAAUCUUGACUUUUAAUCAUGUCCUCUGCAGGUCCCACGAAGCACCGGGUCUCCAGUCCUCCUGCGCCUGAGGAUCAAACACAAGGAAUAGAAGACUUCAGGAUCUGGAGUUCUGGACCCAUUUAGAUGAAACAAUAGGCAUAAUACAGAAAAAGCCCCCUGGUGGUCAGUUUUGAUAUAACUUGUUUGCUGCCUGAGACACUCGUGAUUGACUACUGCACAUUAUAAAGUACCAGAUCUGAUAUUUUUACUGAUUUUUCUAGGCAAAGACAUUCGUUAACAGUUACAAAUAAUACUCACAUUUAUUAAAGAACAGUUGGAAAUAUUCUAUUUUCUCUUUUGCUCACAAUUUUGGCUUUAAUAUCAAAUGCUGAUGGGUCAAAUACAUUUAGAGGAUUUCAGAGCAGUAAAGACACAGAAUCACAACUAAUAUGAUCGAUUAAUGGACAAUUUUAUCCAGGUAAAAUUACAGACAAGCGUUAGCCUUAACCCUGGCUGAUGACAUUCAACUAAUAACUUGAACAAGAACUAUUAUGAUUACUAAAAAUGUAAUACAAUACAACUAUUUAAAAUAUAUACUUUAUCAUUUCUAUCAUUGCUGCUAUUGUUUAUUUUUCAUAUGUAGACUUUUUGUUUGACUUUGGUAAAUAUGGAUUUAAAUAAGUAUUUUUUUACCUUGACAAAUAAUGUUAAUUAUUUUUGUUGCAUUUCAUUCUUGUUUUUAUUUUAUAUCAUGAAAUGGAUAAGAAUAAUGUAUGACCAAAUAUUACAUUUCAUACAAAAUUAUGUUUUCGAAUCAGUGCUGCAUACUAACAAAUUGGUGGUUAGUAAAAGUAUACAUAAAACUCCAAAUUCUAAUGGCGCCACUAUGGCUUGUCAUGUGAUGAGGCUUAAACAGGCAAUCAACACUCAAUGCUGCCCUUCAGGUCUUCUUCUUACAACUAACAAACAAAACAUUUAUUUUAAAUCCCCCUAAAAAUGUCAAAGCAUGUGAAAACACCACUUGUUGAAGUUGUUGUUUUUAAUUAAAAAUGAAUGAAAUGUUUGAGUUCUAUGUUGUCCCCAUAACAAAAGCACAGUCACAAACCAAGUAACACAUGCACAUUCACAUCACAACCCUCUCCACAGUUGAUGCCCCCUUUCACUUUUUUACCCUGCCACAGUGUCAUAAAGACAGACACCAUAUUAAUAACUUUCGUUUCGGUAUCACAAACACAUAACAUCAUAUUCAUUCAUUUAUUCAAUGGGAUGUCUUUGACAAUCACUGCCUGUUUUACAAUUAUUGUCCACUUGAUGAAACAGGAAAGCAAAUAAAGCCAAAUGAAGCUUGAAGUUUGAUUUUGCAUGAAAUGUAUACUGUCAUAAGUCGAGCAACUGGAUAAAAAGUGUCAAUGCUUCAGGAGGCUUCAUCUCACCAUCACUACUUUUUUUGUACUAUACAUUGACAUUUUAGUUUACUAUGAUAUUUUAAUCAUACUAUACUAUAACUUUUUUUUUUUUUUUUUUAUCAAACUUUACUGUGACAUUUUUAUCACACUGUACUAGGAUAUUUUGACAUACUACACUAUGACAAUUUCACCAUACUAUACUAUGACAUUUUUAUCAUACUUUACUAUGAGAUUUUUUUCACACCAAAAUUAAAACUUUAUCAGAGAAUACUAUAACAUUUUUUAAUAUACUGUACUGACAUUUUUUAACAUACUAUACUAUGACAGUUUUUUCAUACCAAAAUUUGAAUUGUAUAUCUAAGUAUACUAUGACAUUUUUAUCAUACUAUACUAUGAC